Olea europaea var. sylvestris is the source of this 804-nucleotide long non-coding RNA. RefSeq lists it as uncharacterized. Lineage: Eukaryota; Viridiplantae; Streptophyta; Magnoliopsida; Lamiales; Oleaceae. The transcript is spliced from 3 exons. The record is from RefSeq and is a predicted model, not a curated record.
UUUUCAUACACUUCCAUUAUCCACCAUUUUUUUUUUUUUUUGGCUAAAACAAGUGCUUUUAGUUUUACUAAAACCCAUACCCCGCCUUCGACUCUUUCCGAUCAAAUCUCCCAUGUCAUUGGAUUAUUAGUGAUGAAGGAAGCAUUUUUACCUUAAGUUUUGGUUGUGGAAGUUUCGGUUUAGCUCCAGAAGUAGAAAUAAUUGUGUUUUUCCCAAAAACAAGGUUCACUAUUAUGCUAUUUUACUCUUGGUGUAGUGUUAUUUUCUUCACUUUAUUAAACUGCCUACUCAAGAGAUGUAGCUCUAAUUAGAUUUCCUUCUCAGUGGUUGUAACUAGGGAAGAGGGUGAACUUCUUGUUGGAAUUAAGAAUGAAGGGGAAAUCCUCAGGAAAGGAUGCAAGGGGUAAGGAGGAGUAUACAGCAUUUUUCUACUUUCUCGUACCUAAGAACUCUUAGGUUUAUUGAAAAAUCGCAGCAAAACAUUCUUGGUGAACUAGUCAAGAAACGGUUAGAGGGACUAUGUGUUAUCUAUUACUUAAUCCACCUUCACAAGCACCAAGGUGAUUUUAUUGCUACAAGCUGCAUAACUCAAAAGCAUGCUUGCUAAUGAUCAGUUCAGAGCCUUGUAUUCUUUUAAUGUAUUUUCUUUGAAUUAGUAGUCAUUUCUUUAUUUACUUUUUUACUAGAUGCCUGAAUUGAAAAUUACCUAGUUUGGAUUUGGAUGAACUGUAAAUUUUGUUAUAUUUGUGUUCUGGUAAAAUAUUUUCGAUUCAAGAUUAUAUUGAUUGACACAUGUUUAAUUAA